UGGCACCUCGGGGGAUUUAGGAUUUCUUCCUAACGAGCUCUCAGUCAGUCACCUGGGCUGUGCGUGAGUUCAUGUCUUCAGGAGCUGAGGACUACGAGGCAUCACAAAAGUGGCCACGAGAGGCAGGUAAAGGCCCCCAAAGUCUUCACCAUCGUCCGCCUCAGAAAAUCACUUGUCUGAUGCUCAGGCGGAGCCCAGCAAACACCCCGACCCCCUGGAGGUGCCACGAGGAAAGGAGUGUCCUCAGAGAGCUUCCGGGGAAGCCAGCCCUAUGAAGCCCUCCACGUUCACCAGGAGUUCAUCGCAGCUGCGGCCAGGCUGGGAAGGAGAGGUGGCCACAGGCAGGCAGCGUGUCUGUUCCGGAUGCAAAGCGCAGCCCCAGCCCCGCCCGCUGGAGCCCUCUCUGGCGCUGGGUGGACAAAGCUGCAGUGCGCCGGCCAGGGAAGGCCGAGGAGCCGCCCAGGCGAGGCCCGAGCUGCCUGGUGGCAUCUGUGUGGACCCCAGGCCAUGUCACUGCCUCAGCACACUCGACCUCCAACUCACAUUCCUCACAGGUGGCCCGGGAAAGGGGACCACCCACUCGGCAGGAGCUCCCUGAGCCAGCUCAGUGGAUGGAGCAAACUGACUUGGAAAUCAAAGUGAUGCCCAGACGGAGCAAGAGACAGCCCCGGACCAGCCCCCGGGCCACACCCGCGCACCAGCCAGGACCAGGCCCCGCGGAGGCUUGCUGGGAAGCUGGCGCUGUGUUGUUUCCCCCGCCAGCUGCUCGCUUCCUCCCGGGCUCACUGGAGUGCAAACUGCUUUCACUUGUUUGAAAUGGAAAUUUUUUCGUCUCUUUA
RNAcentral lists this long non-coding RNA (839 nucleotides) under Homo sapiens (human). RNAcentral describes it as "HSALNT0355313". The record is from RNAcentral. Lineage: Eukaryota; Metazoa; Chordata; Mammalia; Primates; Hominidae.